Molecule: ribosomal RNA, 161 nt
Filed under: uncultured bacterium
Lineage: Bacteria
Description: partial 16S ribosomal RNA
Rfam family: Bacterial small subunit ribosomal RNA
Source: RNAcentral
UCGGGAAUUUUGGGCAAUGGGGGCAACCCUGACCCAGCAACGCCGCGUGAGGGAUGAAGGCCCUCGGGUCGUAAACCUCUGUCGGGAAGGAAGAACGUUCUGCAGGUGAAUAAUCUGCAGGAUUGACGGUACCUCCAAAGGAAGCACCGGCUAACUCCGUG